Long non-coding RNA from Adelges cooleyi (spruce gall adelgid), 493 nucleotides. RefSeq lists it as uncharacterized. NCBI's taxonomy places the organism in Eukaryota, Metazoa, Arthropoda, Insecta, Hemiptera, Adelgidae. The record is from RefSeq and is a predicted model, not a curated record. The transcript has 4 exons.
AAACGUAAUAUUGCACUAGUAUAGUAUUCUACAUCAUUGCGGUUUUAUAAUAAUAACAAGUUGAAAAAAUGAAUUUCAAAAGUAUUUUUUGUAUUGUAGCCACCAUAUUUUCCAUAAUGAUGUAUGCGUAUGCGGGUACAGAACCAGGUUCAGAAGUUAAACUUAAUGGUACGGAUCCUGAUACCAAACCAGAUCCGUCACCACCACGACCAAUAGUUUCAACAGGAACACCAAACCCGCUUGCUGACAACAAGUAAAUUUACCAACAAAGCUGAAGUAUCCAAGAUCUGUCUCACAUUCUAAAAAUACAUAUGCUUAAUUGUAUAUUGUAAAAUGUUCAUCUUUGUUUAUCAUAACUGUGUUUCAACCUUCCGAUUUUUCUAAUAACAAUGUACUCCAAAUCACUUAUUUUGUUACCUAUCAUAUAAAUUAUAUUUUAUCUAUUACAUAUACCUGUCUACCAAUAAAAAUAAUAUUAACUGUACAAGUAAAA